UACAGAGGUCUCAAGCGUUGUUCGGAUUCAUUGGGCGUAAAGGGUGCGUAGGUGGCGAGGUUAGUCAGGUGUGAAAUCUCGGGGCUCAACCCCGAAACUGCACUUGAUACUGCCUUGCUAGAGUACUGGAGAGGAGACUGGAAUUUACGGUGUAGCGGUGAAAUGCGUAGAUAUCGUAAGGAAGACCAGUGGCGAAGGCGGGUCUCUGGACAGUUCCUGACGCUGAGGCACGAAGGUCAGGGGAGCAAACGGG
Molecule: ribosomal RNA, 253 nt
Filed under: uncultured bacterium
Lineage: Bacteria
Description: partial 16S ribosomal RNA
Rfam family: Bacterial small subunit ribosomal RNA
Source: RNAcentral